This 253-nucleotide ribosomal RNA is filed under the name uncultured bacterium. Its description in RNAcentral is "partial 16S ribosomal RNA". It matches the Rfam family "Bacterial small subunit ribosomal RNA", at positions 524 to 776 of the family's 1533-position model. The record is from RNAcentral.
UACGUAGGGUGCAAGCGUUAAUCGGAAUUACUGGGCGUAAAGCGUGCGCAGGCGGUUUUGUAAGACAGGUGUGAAAUCCCCGGGCUUAACCUGGGAACUGCACUUGUGACUGCAAGGCUGGAGUACGGCAGAGGGGGAUGGAAUUCCGCGUGUAGCAGUGAAAUGCGUAGAUAUGCGGAGGAACACCGAUGGCGAAGGCAAUCCCCUGGGCCUGUACUGACGCUCAUGCACGAAAGCGUGGGGAGCAAACAGG